This is an RNA transcript of Erigeron canadensis, 1304 nucleotides long. It is a transcript of the gene named mediator of RNA polymerase II transcription subunit 19a-like, with no coding region annotated. The record is from RefSeq and is a predicted model, not a curated record. Lineage: Eukaryota; Viridiplantae; Streptophyta; Magnoliopsida; Asterales; Asteraceae. The transcript is spliced from 7 exons.
UUCAUUUCCAUUUGCAUUUUCAUUUUCAUUUUCAGCUAAGACACCAAAACCACGAAAAAACACACACACACACACACACACACACAUACAAACACAAACACAAAUCUCAUAAUUUACCUCAAAAAUUAGCUCAAAAUUCAAGCUCAACAUCUUCCGAAUCAGGAAUCUAGGAUUGGAAGCUAUUUGUGAUUCUUUCCGAAGAUUAUCGGAUGAUAAUGGUAUAUCCUCAUACGUGACACUGAUUGAUGGAUCCAGAAAGUAAGAAGUUUGGAAAAGGACCAAGGGAACUCACAGGCGCUGUGGAUCUUAUAAGUUACUAUAAAUUGUUACCCCACUACGAGUUCUUCUGCAAGAAGUCACUUCCUUUGUCAAUUUCAGAUACACAUUACCUUCACCAUGCUGUUGGAGACACAGAAAUCAGAAAAGGCGAAGGGAUGCAGUUAGAUCAGCUCAUUCACAACACAUCACAUUCUAGAGAUACAAACACACGCAUACAACCAUUUGACCUUAGUGUUCUUACGGAAGCCUUUCAGCUGAGGGAGACUGCACCUGUUGACCUGCCAGCUUCUGAGAAGGGGAUGCCUACUAUAGCUGGAAAAUCUAGAAGUGAAUCAAAAGACAAGGAAAAGAAACAUAAAAAGCACAAAGAUAAAGAUAAAGAGAAGGAUAAAGACAAAGAGCACAAGAAACACAAACAUCGACAUAAAGAUCGAAGUAAAGAUAAGGACAAGGAGAAAAAGAAGGAUAAAAGUAGUCACCAUGAGAAGAAAAGAAAGCAUGAUGGAAACGAAGAUAGCAAUGACAUUCACAAGCAGAAGAAAAGUAAGCACAAGAGCUCAAAGAUCGACGAGAUAGGGGCAAUAAAGAUAGCAGCUUGAAAGUGGAUUGUGGUAGAUAGUAUUUUUUUUUCUCCUCAUAUUGCAAACAAAACCAGAGAAGAGCCCCAGGACUAACUAAAGGAAUCCAAAAAGGUGAAUUCACCUGUGCAGUAGAUUUUUUCAUGGUACAAUUUUAUGGAAACCAGACUGCUUUGUAAUUUGUAUCAUAGUUGGGCUUUCAUACAUUCAAAACGUAAAUCCGUUCUUUAGUUUAGUGGCAUGCUGGAUAUCUAUAUAAUUCCUGAUCAUUUUUAACGACCCGUACGUGUAGUUUCAGUUCCAGUUUUGGAGAAAAGAACUUUGUAAGAUGUUGUAUCAUUAAUGGGUAGGUAUGUUUUUUAGUCCUUGUAAAUACUAUUGAGAUAAGAUGUAAAUGGUGCUGUCACUAGUAAUCCAAGAAGAUAUCUUUUUUUGGUUCUUUUCUAA